Long non-coding RNA from Rhopalosiphum padi (bird cherry-oat aphid), 452 nucleotides. RefSeq lists it as uncharacterized. The record is from RefSeq and is a predicted model, not a curated record. The transcript has 4 exons. Lineage: Eukaryota; Metazoa; Arthropoda; Insecta; Hemiptera; Aphididae.
AGUUGUCAAGUUAUCAAAUCAUGAAAAUAAACAAAACAAAUUGAUAUUUGAAUGUUUUGUUGUCGAAUAAUUUAACUUCAGACAUCUGUAACCGUCAGAAGAAUGUAUGAUUUAACACAAAUUAAUUUGAAAAACCAACUAAUAAAAUUUAAUGUGUGACGUCGAUGAAAUAGAGUAUACUUCCAGUCCAAAUAAAGGCAAGAUUUAAAAAUUCAAGGUAAGAAUAUAUUUUGUAUCGAGGAAAAGCAAUAAUAUUUUACACUAUUAUUAGAAUAUGAUUUUAGAAAUUAUUUUCUUGUCAAUGUCGGCGUAAUUUAACGCAACCACAAGUAUUGUGAUAAAAAUAAAAUAUGGUGAAAAUAGCUGGAUUAGCUUCGAGUAAUCAGCCAAAGAAACAUACAAUUAUAUCGUUAAGAUCUUUGUAUGUUUUAUUAAAACAAUUUGUUGUGUAA